CGCGUGCGGUCAUCGACACGGCUCCGAUUCCUGCUCCAUUGUAUAUCGAAAUAAGAAACACAGAGCUGCACGCUCGCUGUGCGUGGUAUGAGCCGGUGAGGAGACGCAAGUGGACCUGAUCCUUGCACAUCUUGGAACAAGAAAACACUCCAGUAGCAGAGGCUUGCAGGGUGACGCCGUGAUUGCCUGUCAGCUUUCACGCCGUUUUAUUACCGAGCAGGGACUGGGCUGGCAGGGCAGGGCCCAAGCUGCGGGGCUUCUCGCUCCCGGAGAGGGGAGGCCCAGGAGGGAAGCAGCACCCAACAGCUGGUGCUACACAUCUGUGGCACAGACCAGAGCUCUUGGGGCCCCCAAGGUGGCCAGGCUGGAGCCAAACUCCCAAGCCCUUCCUCUUGGGAACCCAUCCAAGCCGGUUUGCUGCUGCUGUGGCCUGUUGCAGAGGCCGCCGUGUCACAGUUUACAGGCAGAGGCCAGGCUGUGGCCCAGGAGGGACAAGGCUGCCGUCCCUGCUCCCUCGCCCAGGCACUGCUGCCCAGGGCCCUGAACCGAGGCUCAGCUGAAGGACCUGAACCCCUGUGCCCCAGCAAGCAGCUCCCAGUGGUUCAGAGCUGACACGGGGAGCUCUUCUCCCCCUCCUCUUUCCCCUUGGCAGGCUUCCACAUUUUCAGAUCCCCAUGGUGAGCUACAUGCUUAAAUGGUAAAGAAUUAACCCAGUUUUUAAAAAGAACCAUCUUCCGGCACUUCAUUGAGCUGCAGGUCUCCUGAGACAGUGCCAUGAAAACCAAAGCUGGCUGGCUGGAAGCACUGUGCAGCAAGGCUGGGUGAGCCAUGAAAGCAGCAGCCGGCACACACCCAUGCCUUCUGGGUAUGACUGCAGCAGCUGGCUUCCCUGCCCGGCCAUGGAGAUGCAGGUAUCCACAGGCAAGAGCCGCAGCCUGCACAAAGACAGGAGCAAGAACAUGCUCAAGGCAGUAGGAGGGUUGGAGUAGCAUAACCAGUCACGGUUUGACUCACUCUUCUAACCGAUGCCACUCGCUAUUUUAUUAACUGACCUUGCUUGAUGCUACAACCCUCACUGCUUCAAAACUGCCCAUUUACAAGUCUCCCGCAAAUAUAGUGUAAUUCACCUAGUAGUUAAAAGUUUGGAAAUUUUAUUUUUUUAAAUAAAAGCUAAAUAAGGA
Molecule: long non-coding RNA, 1181 nt
Organism: Falco peregrinus (peregrine falcon)
Lineage: Eukaryota; Metazoa; Chordata; Aves; Falconiformes; Falconidae
Exons: 2
Source: RefSeq, a predicted model, not a curated record